ACUUGUCUCCUUUCAAAUUCGCCGCUAAGUUAAAUAUAAGGUCUUAGAUUGUUUUGGUUCGAAAUUUGAGUUUUGCUUUGUGUUUUUCGUGUAGGAUCAAUUGGGAGAUGUCUUGCAUUGGAUUCGACAAGGCAUGGCCCUUGUGUGUGGCCUACUUUGGGUGGUUUGUUGAUGACUACCCUGAACUAUCACAUUUAUUGCUGCCAAUCGUCUUAAUUCAAUCAAUUUUCUAUGUUAAAGGAAAUAGUUCAAGUAGAUUUUGGGCGCUUCACUCUUCACUGCAAAUGACAUCUCUUGGAGAAAGAGAACCCCAACAAUGAUACCCUUAUGUUUAUGGAUCUUGCUUUAGAACAGGUACUGUUUAGACUUCUCCCAAGUAGGCUGUAAUUUUAAACCGUUAGGUGAUUCUCUGAUCAAUUACUUUCAGUUUAAGAACUAACUACAGGUUUUUAUAUCGUGGAUUGUAAUUGGCUUGGAUUUCAGGACAGUGAAAAUUUGUCUAUCCCUGACAAACACCCAAAGUUGAUUUCAAUGAUGGACUGGUCUGGUUAAGUUACUGUCUGCCUUUCACUGAGGUUUCUGUACAGUUCUGAGACCUCAGCAGUGCAAUUUACAUUUUCUGGUCCUUUUAUAGUAUGAUUGAGUUUGUUUUUGUUGCUUAUCUGCUGUUGUUGGUGCUAUUGGUAGUUCCAAUAAUCUGACUGAGAUUUCCUAUCAAUAAAAGAAAUUUUCCUUCAGAUUCAGCUCUUGUCUUCAUGUGGUUGCCUCUCUUUACUUUAUUCUGCUUGAUAUAUAUCCCUUUUUUUGUCCUUCUUAUUCUGGUGUUAAGUUUGCUUCCAUAGCUGAUAUUUAACUUCUAUAUUUCUUACUGCUUUAUCUAGGCAAAGCUAGCUUUGGACAGCCUUGAAGUUCCUGUUGGGUACACCAUUUGUAUAUCUUAUAAAUUUGUUGUGCGUUGCCUUUUAAUAUUCUAUGCACAUUUCGUUUUAAGUUCACCUCUUACCCCUUUUCUUUGUUCACAUAACUUUUGGAUUUAUCCUAUUAGUCAUAUAAUUGAAGAUCUAGGCAAAGCUGCUUGAUAUGUUUAUGGCUGAUUGAAUGAUGUUGUAUGAUUUCAGUACUUUUGUUGCGCCGCUUGAGAGAUGUAGGUCUGUGAAUAUUAUUCUCCAUAGAUAGCCCACAGAAAGUUGAUUUGGAUUUUUGAUAGAAAUAAUUUAACUGGCUGCUUCCCUUCCACACUUGGACUGGUGCAAAAUCUAGAGGCAGUGAGUAAAUUUUAAUCCUCAAGUGAAGCUAUUCCAAGACUAUUAGAGAUGAAGUUAAGGAAGUCAAGGAACCGAAACUGAGCCGCCCCGAUUCAGAAAUUUGGUGCAACCGAAAAUUCGGCCCAACCUGGUAAAAAUCUGGUGUUCGGUUUCACAAAUGGACUUUCUGUUUUUUCGGUUCGAACUCGGUUUGGGCCUGACAACCGACCUGGCCUGACUAUGUCCAGGCCUAACAACUCGGAAUUUUAGUCAAGAACUCAGUUUUGGACUUGCAUAUGAAUCAAUUUCGUGGCAGGAUCCCUUCAAUCCCGAAGGGAAACAUCUUGAGGCGAUAAGAAGGAACAGCCAGCAGAUGCUUGGCUCGUGGAACAGUUAUACCAAACUCCUCCGUCAUGUCCAACUCAGUGGGCAACAAACCAUCUGGGAGUUCCCAAUCGAAACAAUGCAGAAGUUGUGCCAAUACUAGC
Rosa rugosa (rugosa rose) is the source of this 1732-nucleotide long non-coding RNA. RefSeq lists it as uncharacterized. NCBI's taxonomy places the organism in Eukaryota, Viridiplantae, Streptophyta, Magnoliopsida, Rosales, Rosaceae. The transcript has 5 exons. The record is from RefSeq and is a predicted model, not a curated record.